AGAUAGAGGAGUGCUCGAAAGAGAACCGUAACACAGGUGCUGCAUGGCUGUCGUCAGCUCGUGUCGUGAGAUGUUGGGUUAAGUCCCGCAACGAGCGCAACCCUUGUCAUUAGUUGCUACAUUCAGUUGGGGCACUCUAAUGAGACUGCCGGUGACAAACCGGAGGAAGGUGGGGAUGACGUCAAGUCCUCAUGGCCCUUAUAGGUGGGGCUACACACGUCAUACAAUGGAUGGUACAAAGGGUCGCCAACCCGCGAGGGGGAGCCAAUCCCAUAAAGCCAUUCGUAGUCCGGAUCGCAGUCUGCAACUCGACUGCGUGAAGUCGGAAUCGCUAGUAAUCGUGGAUCAGAAUGUCACGGUGAAUACGUUCCCGGGUCUU
This 379-nucleotide ribosomal RNA is filed under the name uncultured Acidovorax sp. RNAcentral describes it as "bacterial SSU rRNA". It matches the Rfam family "Bacterial small subunit ribosomal RNA", at positions 1004 to 1382 of the family's 1533-position model. Lineage: Bacteria; Pseudomonadati; Pseudomonadota; Betaproteobacteria; Burkholderiales; Comamonadaceae. The record is from RNAcentral.